RNAcentral lists this ribosomal RNA (468 nucleotides) under uncultured bacterium. RNAcentral describes it as "partial 16S ribosomal RNA". It matches the Rfam family "Bacterial small subunit ribosomal RNA", at positions 329 to 794 of the family's 1533-position model. The record is from RNAcentral.
GCCCAGACUCCUACGGGAGGCAGCAGUGAGGAAUAUUGGUCAAUGGGCGAGAGCCUGAACCAGCCAAGUCGCGUGAAGGAUGACGGCCCUACGGGUUGUAAACUUCUUUUGUCAGGGAGCAAUUGGGUCCACGUGUGGGCUUAGCGAGAGUACCUGAAGAAAAAGCAUCGGCUAACUCCGUGCCAGCAGCCGCAGUAAUACGGAGGAUGCGAGCGUUAUCCGGAUUUAUUGGGUUUAAAGGGUGCGUAGGCGGAAUAUCAAGUCAGCGGUAAAAAUUCGGGGCUCAACCCCGGCCUGCCGUUGAAACUGGCGGCCUCGAGUGGGCGAGAAGUAUGCGGAAUGCGUGGUGUAGCGGUGAAAUGCAUAGAUAUCACGCAGAACUCCGAUUGCGAAGGCAGCAUACCGGCGCCCGACUGACGCUGAGGCACGAAAGCGUGGGUAUCGAACAGGAUUAGAUACCCGAGUAAA